CUUCGGGGAACGAUAACGGCGUCGAGCGGCGGACGGGUGAGUAAUGCCUAGGAAAUUGCCCUGAUGUGGGGGAUAACCAUUGGAAACGAUGGCUAAUACCGCAUGAUGCCUACGGGCCAAAGAGGGGGACCUUCGGGCCUCUCGCGUCAGGAUAUGCCUAGGUGGGAUUAGCUAGUUGGUGAGGUAAGGGCUCACCAAGGCGACGAUCCCUAGCUGGUCUGAGAGGAUGAUCAGCCACACUGGAACUGAGACACGGUCCAGACUCCUACGGGAGGCAGCAGUGGGGAAUAUUGCACAAUGGGCGCAAGCCUGAUGCAGCCAUGCCGCGUGUGUGAAGAAGGCCUUCGGGUUGUAAAGCACUUUCAGUCGUGAGGAAGGUGGUGUCGUUAAUAGCUGCAUCAUUUGACGUUAGCGACAGAAGAAGCACCGGCUAACUCCGUGCCAGCAGCCGCGGUAAUACGGAGGGUGCGAGCGUUAAUCGGAAUUACUGGGCGUAAAG
This 499-nucleotide ribosomal RNA is filed under the name Vibrio sp. Its description in RNAcentral is "bacterial SSU rRNA". It matches the Rfam family "Bacterial small subunit ribosomal RNA", at positions 78 to 565 of the family's 1533-position model. The record is from RNAcentral. Lineage: Bacteria; Pseudomonadati; Pseudomonadota; Gammaproteobacteria; Vibrionales; Vibrionaceae.